UAGGGAAUCUUCCGCAAUGGGCGAAAGCCUGACGGAGCAACGCCGCGUGAGUGAUGAAGGUCUUCGGAUCGUAAAACUCUGUUAUUAGGGAAGAACAAAUGUGUAAGUAACUAUGCACGUCUUGACGGUACCUAAUCAGAAAGCCACGGCUAACUACGUGCCAGCAGCCGCGGUAAUACGUAGGUGGCAAGCGUUAUCCGGAAUUAUUGGGCGUAAAGCGCGCGUAGGCGGUUUUUUAAGUCUGAUGUGAAAGCCCACGGCUCAACCGUGGAGGGUCAUUGGAAACUGGAAAACUUGAGUGCAGAAGAGGAAAGUGGAAUUCCAUGUGUAGCGGUGAAAUGCGCAGAGAUAUGGAGGAACACCAGUGGCGAAGGCGACUUUCUGGUCUGUAACUGACGCUGAUGUGCGAAAGCGUGGGGGUCAAACAGG
RNAcentral lists this ribosomal RNA (429 nucleotides) under Actinomycetes bacterium. RNAcentral's name for it is "Actinobacteria bacterium partial 16S ribosomal RNA". It matches the Rfam family "Bacterial small subunit ribosomal RNA", at positions 355 to 776 of the family's 1533-position model. Lineage: Bacteria; Bacillati; Actinomycetota; Actinomycetes. RNAcentral also lists the same sequence under 1 other name. The record is from RNAcentral.